This 52-nucleotide transfer RNA is filed under the name Dremomys rufigenis laomache. RNAcentral describes it as "partial tRNA-Ala". The record is from RNAcentral. Lineage: Eukaryota; Metazoa; Chordata; Mammalia; Rodentia; Sciuridae.
AGGGCUUAGUUUAAUUAAAGCGAUUGAUUUGCGUUCAGUAGAUGUAAGAUGG